RNAcentral lists this ribosomal RNA (1440 nucleotides) under uncultured organism. RNAcentral's name for it is "SSU rRNA". It matches the Rfam family "Bacterial small subunit ribosomal RNA". The record is from RNAcentral.
GAACGCUAGCGACAGGCUUAACACAUGCAAGUCGAGGGGCAGCACAGGUAGCAAUACCGGGUGGCGACCGGCGCACGGGUGAGUAACGCGUAUGCAACUUACCUAUCAGAGGGGGAUAACCCGGCGAAAGUCGGACUAAUACCGCAUGAAGCAGGGGUCCCGCAUGGGGAUAUUUGCUAAAGAUUCAUCGCUGAUAGAUAGGCAUGCGUUCCAUUAGGCAGUUGGCGGGGUAACGGCCCACCAAACCGACGAUGGAUAGGGGUUCUGAGAGGAAGGUCCCCCACAUUGGUACUGAGACACGGACCAAACUCCUACGGGAGGCAGCAGUGAGGAAUAUUGGUCAAUGGCCGAGAGGCUGAACCAGCCAAGUCGCGUGAGGGAUGAAGGUUCUAUGGAUCGUAAACCUCUUUUAUAAGGGAAUAAAGUGCGGGACGUGUCCCGUUUUGUAUGUACCUUAUGAAUAAGGAUCGGCUAACUCCGUGCCAGCAGCCGCGGUAAUACGGAGGAUCCGAGCGUUAUCCGGAUUUAUUGGGUUUAAAGGGUGCGUAGGCGGCCUUUUAAGUCAGCGGUGAAAGUCUGUGGCUCAACCAUAGAAUUGCCGUUGAAACUGGGGGGCUUGAGUAUGUUUGAGGCAGGCGGAAUGCGUGGUGUAGCGGUGAAAUGCAUAGAUAUCACGCAGAACCCCGAUUGCGAAGGCAGCCUGCCAAGCCAUUACUGACGCUGAUGCACGAAAGCGUGGGGAUCAAACAGGAUUAGAUACCCUGGUAGUCCACGCAGUAAACGACGAUCACUAGCUGUUUGCGAUACACUGUAAGCGGCACAGCGAAAGCGUUAAGUGAUCCACCUGGGGAGUACGCCGGCAACGGUGAAACUCAAAGGAAUUGACGGGGGCCCGCACAAGCGGAGGAACAUGUGGUUUAAUUCGAUGAUACGCGAGGAACCUUACCCGGGUUUGAACGCAUUCGGACCGAGGUGGAAACACCUUUUCUAGCAAUAGCCGUUUGCGAGGUGCUGCAUGGUUGUCGUCAGCUCGUGCCGUGAGGUGUCGGCUUAAGUGCCAUAACGAGCGCAACCCUUGCCACUAGUUACUAACAGGUAAAGCUGAGGACUCUGGUGGGACUGCCAGCGUAAGCUGCGAGGAAGGCGGGGAUGACGUCAAAUCAGCACGGCCCUUACAUCCGGGGCGACACACGUGUUACAAUGGCGUGGACAAAGGGAAGCCACCUGGCGACAGGGAGCGAAUCCCCAAACCACGUCUCAGUUCGGAUCGGAGUCUGCAACCCGACUCCGUGAAGCUGGAUUCGCUAGUAAUCGCGCAUCAGCCAUGGCGCGGUGAAUACGUUCCCGGGCCUUGUACACACCGCCCGUCAAGCCAUGGGAGCCGGGGGUACCUGAAGUCCGUAACCGCGAGGAUCGGCCUAGGGUAAAACUGGUGACUGG